Long non-coding RNA from Hypanus sabinus (Atlantic stingray), 12388 nucleotides. RefSeq lists it as uncharacterized. The record is from RefSeq and is a predicted model, not a curated record. The transcript has 3 exons. NCBI's taxonomy places the organism in Eukaryota, Metazoa, Chordata, Chondrichthyes, Myliobatiformes, Dasyatidae.
GGUACAGUGGUGGACGUAGCGUCUGUGGAAUUCAGUGACGGUGUUUCACAUUGGUGAAGGUACAGUGGUGGGUAUGGUGUCUAUGGAAUUCAGUGAAGGUGUUUCAUAUUGGUGUAGGUAGACUGGUGGAUGUGGUGUCUUGAAUUCAGUGAAGGUGUUUCAUAUUGGUGAAGGUGGAGUGGUGGAUAUGGUGUCUAUGGAUUUCAGAGAAGAUGUUUCAUAUUGAUGAAGGGUGCGUGGUGGAUGUGGUAUUGAUGGAAUUCAGUGAAGGUGUUUCAUUUUGGUGAAGGUAGAGUGGUGGAUGUGCUAUUGAUGGAAUUCAGUGAAGGUGAAUCACAUUGAUGAAGGUACAGUGGUGGACGUGGUGUGUAUGGAAUUCAGUGAAGGAGUUUCGCAUUGGUGAAGGUAGAGUGGUGGAUGUGGUGUCAAUGGAAUUCAGUGAAGGUGUUUCACAUUGCUGAAGGCAGAGUAGUGGACGUGGUGUCUGUGGAAUUCAGUGAAGGUGUUUCAUAUUGGUGAAGUUAGAGUGGUGGAAGUGGUGUCUUUGGAUUACAGUGAAGGUGUUUCAUAUUGGUGAAGGUAGAGUGGUGGAUGCGGUGACUAUGGAAUUCAGUGAAGGUGUUUCAUAUUGGUGAAGGUAGAGUGGUGGACGUGGUGUCAAUGGAAUUCAAUGAAGGUGUUUCAUUAAUGUGAAGGUAGAGUGGUGGACGUGGUGUCAAUGGAAUUCAGUGAAUGUGUUUCAUUAUGGUGAAGGUAGAGUGGCGGAAGUGGUGUCUAUGGAAUUAAGUGAAGGAUUUUCACAUUGGUGAAGAUAGAGUGCUGGACGUGGUGUCUGUGGAAUUCAGUGAAGGUGUUUCAUAUUGGUGAAGGUAGAGUGGUGGAUGUGGUGUCUUUGGUGUUCAUUGAAGGUGUUUUACAUUGAUGAAGGUACAGUGGUGGACGUGGUGUGUAUGGAAUUCAGUGAAAGUGUUUCAAUUGAUGAAUGUAGUGUCGUGGAUUUGGUCUGUAUGGAAUUCAGUGAAGGUGUUUCACAUUGCUGAAGGCAGAGUAGUGGAUGUGGUGUCUGGAAUUCAGUGAAGGUGUUUCAUAUUGGUGAAGUUAGAGUGGUGGAAGUGGUGUCUUUGGAUUACAGUGAAGGUGUUUCAUAUUGGUGAAGGUAGAGUGGUGGAUGCGGUGACUAUGGAAUUCAGUGAAGGUGUUUCUUAUUGGUGAAGGUAGAGUGGUGGACGUGGUGUCAAUGGAAUUCAAUGAAGGUGUUUCAUUAUGGUGAAGGUAGAGUGGUGGACGUGGUGUCAAUGGAAUUCAGUGAAUGUGUUUCAUUAUGGUGAAGGUAGAGUGGCGGAAGUGGUGUCUAUGGAAUUAAGUGAAGGAUUUUCACAUUGGUGAAGAUAGAGUGGUGGACGUGGUGUCUGUGGAAUUCAGUGAAGGUGUUUCUUAUUGGUGAAGGUAGAGUGGUGGAUGUGGUGUCUUUGGUGUUCAUUGAAGGUGUUUUACAUUGAUGAAGGUACAGUGGUGGACGUGGUGUGUAUGGAAUUCAGUGAAAGUGUUUCAAUUGAUGAAUGUAGUGUCGUGGAUUUGGUGUGUAUGGAAUUCAGUGAAGGUGUUUCAUAUUGGUGAAGGGAGAGUGGUGGCUGUGGUGUCUAUGGAAUUCAGUGAAGGUGUUUCACAUUGAAGGUAGAGUGGUGGAUGUGGUUUCUAUGGAAUACAGUGAAGGUGUUUCAUAUUGGUGAAGGUAGAGUGGUGGAUGUGGUGUCUAUGGAAUUCAGUAAAGGUGUUUCACAUUGGUGAAGGUACAGUGGUGGACGUAGCGUCUGGAAUUCAGUGACGGUGUUUCACAUUGGUGAAGGUACAGUGGUGGGUAUAGUGUCUAUGGAAUUCAGUGAAGGUGUUUCAUAUUGGUGUAGGUAGACUGGUGGAUGUGGUGUCUUGAAUUCAGUGAAGGUGUUUCAUAUUGGUGAAGGUGGAGUGGUGGAUAUGGUGUCUAUGGAUUUCAGAGAAGAUGUUUCAUAUUGAUGAAGGGUGCGUGGUGGAUGUGGUAUUGAUGGAAUUCAGUGAAGGUGUUUCAUUUUGGUGAAGGUAGAGUGGUGGAUGUGCUAUUGAUGGAAUUCAGUGAAGGUGAAUCACAUUGAUGAAGGUACAGUGGUGGACGUGGUGUGUAUGGAAUUCAGUGAAGGAGUUUCGCAUUGGUGAAGGUAGAGUGGUGGAUGUGGUGUCAAUGGAAUUCAGUGAAGGUGUUUCACAUUGCUGAAGGCAGAGUAGUGGACGUGGUGUCUGUGGAAUUCAGUGAAGGUGUUUCAUAUUGGUGAAGUUAGAGUGGUGGAAGUGGUGUCUUUGGAUUACAGUGAAGGUGUUUCAUAUUGGUGAAGGUAGAGUGGUGGAUGCGGUGACUAUGGAAUUCAGUGAAGGUGUUUCAUAUUGGUGAAGGUAGAGUGGUGGACGUGGUGUCAAUGGAAUUCAAUGAAGGUGUUUCAUUAAUGUGAAGGUAGAGUGGUGGACGUGGUGUCAAUGGAAUUCAGUGAAUGUGUUUCAUUAUGGUGAAGGUAGAGUGGCGGAAGUGGUGUCUAUGGAAUUAAGUGAAGGAUUUUCACAUUGGUGAAGAUAGAGUGGUGGACGUGGUGUCUGUGGAAUUCAGUGAAGGUGUUUCAUAUUGGUGAAGGUAGAGUGGUGGAUGUGGUGUCUUUGGUGUUCAUUGAAGGUGUUUUACAUUGAUGAAGGUACAGUGGUGGACGUGGUGUGUAUGGAAUUCAGUGAAAGUGUUUCAAUUGAUGAAUGUAGUGUCGUGGAUUUGGUCUGUAUGGAAUUCAGUGAAGGUGUUUCACAUUGCUGAAGGCAGAGUAGUGGAUGUGGUGUCUGGAAUUCAGUGAAGGUGUUUCAUAUUGGUGAAGUUAGAGUGGUGGAAUUGGUGUCUUUGGAUUACAGUGAAGGUGUUUCAUAUUGGUGAAGGUAGAGUGGUGGACGUGGUGUCAAUGGAAUUCAGUGAAUGUGUUUCAUUAUGGUGAAGGUAGAGUGGCGGAAGUGGUGUCUAUGGAAUUAAGUGAAGGAUUUUCACAUUGGUGAAGAUAGAGUGGUGGACGUGGUGUCUGUGGAAUUCAGUGAAGGUGUUUCUUAUUGGUGAAGGUAGAGUGGUGGAUGUGGUGUCUUUGGUGUUCAUUGAAGGUGUUUUACAUUGAUGAAGGUACAGUGGUGGACGUGGUGUGUAUGGAAUUCAGUGAAAGUGUUUCAAUUGAUGAAUGUAGUGUCGUGGAUUUGGUGUGUAUGGAAUUCAGUGAAGGUGUUUCAUAUUGGUGAAGGGAGAGUGGUGGAUGUGGUGUCUAUGGAAUUCAGUGAAGGUGUUUCACUUUGAAGGUAGAGUGGUGGAUGUGGUUUCUAUGGAAUACAGUGAAGGUGUUUCAUAUUGGUGAAGGUAGAGUGGUGGAUGUGGUGUCUAUGGAAUUCAGUAAAGGUGUUUCACAUUGGUGAAGGUACAGUGGUGGACGUAGCGUCUGGAAUUCAGUGACGGUGUUUCACAUUGGUGAAGGUACAGUGGUGGGUAUGGUGUCUAUGGAAUUCAGUGAAGGUGUUUCAUAUUGGUGUAGGUAGACUAGUGGAUGUGGUGUCUAUGGAAUUCAGUGAAGGUGUUUCAUAUUGGUGAAGGUAGAGUGGUGGAUUUGGUGUCUGGAAUUCAGAGAAGAUGUUUCAUAUUGAUGAAGGGUGCGUGGUGGAUGUGGUAUUGAUGGAAUUCAGUGAAGGUGUUUCAUAUUGAUGAAUGUAGAGCGGGUGACGUGGUGUCUAUGGAAUUCAGUGAAGGUGUUUCAUAUUGGUGAAGGUAGACUGUUGGAUGUGGUGUCUAUGAAAUUCAGUGAAUGUGCUUCAUAUUGGGGAAGGUAGAGUAGUGGUUGUCGUGUCUGGAAUUCAGAGAAGGUGAUUCAUAUUGAGGAAGGUAGCGUGGUGGAUGUAGUAUUGAUGGAAUUCAGUGAAGCUGUUUCAAAUUGAUGAAGGUAGCGUGGUGGAUGUGUUAUUGAUGGUAUUCAGUGAAGGUGUUUCGUAUUGGUGAAGGCAGAGUGGUGGACAUGGUUUGUAUGGAAUUCAGUGAAUUUGUUUCAUACUGGUGAAGGUAGAGUGGUGGACGUGGUGUCUGUCGAUUACAGUGAAGGUGUUUCAUAUUGGUGAAGGUAGAGUGGUGGACGCGAUGUCUAUGGAAUUCAGCGAAGUUGUUUCACAUUGGUGAAGGUACAGUGGUGGAUGUGGUGUCUGUGGAAUUCAGUGACGGUGUUUCACAUUGUUGAAGGUACAGUGGUGGAUAUGGUGUCUAUUGAAUUCAGUGAAGGACUUUCACAUUGAUGAAGGUAGAGUGGUGGAAGUGGUUUGUAUGGAAUUCAGUUAACUUGUUUCAUAUUGGUGAAGGUAGAGUGGUGGAGGUGGUGUCUAUUGAUUUCAGUGAACGUGUUUCAUAUUGGUGAAGGUAGAGUGGUGGAAGUGGUGUCUUUGGAUUACAGUGAAGGUGUUUCUCAUUGGUGAAGGUCGAGUGGUGGAAGUGGUGUCUAUGGAAUUCCGUGAAGAUGUUUAACUUUGGUGAAGGUAGAGUGGCGGACGUGGUGUCAAUGGAAUUCAGUGAAGGUGUUUCAUAUUGGUGAAGGUAGAGUGGCGGACGUGGUGUCUAUGGAGUUAUGUGAAGGAGUUUCACAUUGGUGAAGGUAGAGUGGUGGACGUGGUGUCUAAGGAAUUCAGUGAAGGUGAUUCACAUUGAUGAAGGUACAGUGGUGGACGUGGUGUGUAUGGAAUUCAGUGAAUGUGUUUCACAUUGGUGAAUGUAGAGUGGUGGAUGUGGUGUCUAUGAAAUUCAGUAAAAGCGUUUCACAUUGAUGAAUGUAGAGUGGUGGAUGUGGUGUCCAUGGAAUUCAGUGAAGGUGUUUCACAUUGGUGAAGGUACAGUGGUGGACGUAGCGUCUGUGGAAUUCAGUGACGGUGUUUCACAUUGGUGAAGGUACAGUGGUGGGUAUGGUGUCUAUGGAAUUCAGUGAAGGUGUUUCAUAUUGGUGUAGGUAGACUGGUGGAUGUGGUGUCUUGAAUUCAGUGAAGGUGUUUCAUAUUGGUGAAGGUGGAGUGGUGGAUAUGGUGUCUAUGGAUUUCAGAGAAGAUGUUUCAUAUUGAUGAAGGGUGCGUGGUGGAUGUGGUAUUGAUGGAAUUCAGUGAAGGUGUUUCAUUUUGGUGAAGGUAGAGUGGUGGAUGUGCUAUUGAUGGAAUUCAGUGAAGGUGAAUCACAUUGAUGAAGGUACAGUGGUGGACGUGGUGUGUAUGGAAUUCAGUGAAGGAGUUUCGCAUUGGUGAAGGUAGAGUGGUGGAUGUGGUGUCAAUGGAAUUCAGUGAAGGUGUUUCACAUUGCUGAAGGCAGAGUAGUGGAUGUGGUGUCUGUGGAAUUCAGUGAAGGUGUUUCAUAUUGGUGAAGUUAGAGUGGUGGAAGUGGUGUCUUUGGAUUACAGUGAAGGUGUUUCAUAUUGGUGAAGGUAGAGUGGUGGAUGCGGUGACUAUGGAAUUCAGUGAAGGUGUUUCAUAUUGGUGAAGGUAGAGUGGUGGACGUGGUGUCAAUGGAAUUCAAUGAAGGUGUUUCAUUAAUGUGAAGGUAGAGUGGUGGACGUGGUGUCAAUGGAAUUCAGUGAAUGUGUUUCAUUAUGGUGAAGGUAGAGUGGCGGAAGUGGUGUCUAUGGAAUUAAGUGAAGGAUUUUCACAUUGGUGAAGAUAGAGUGGUGGACGUGGUGUCUGUGGAAUUCAGUGAAGGUGUUUCAUAUUGGUGAAGGUAGAGUGGUGGAUGUGGUGUCUUUGGUGUUCAUUGAAGGUGUUUUAUAUUGAUGAAGGUACAGUGGUGGACGUGGUGUGUACGGAAUUCAGUGAAAGUGUUUCAAUUGAUGAAUGUAGUGUCGUGGAUUUGGUGUGUAUGGAAUUCAGUGAAGGUGUUUCAAAUUGGAGAAGGGAGAGUGGUGGAUGUGGUGUCUAUGGAAUUCAGUGAAGGUGUUUCACUUUGAAGGUAGAGUGGUGGAUGUGGUUUCUAUGGAAUACAGUGAAGGUGUUUCAUAUUGGUGAAGGUAGAGUGGUGGAUGUGGUGUCCAUGGAAUUCAGUGAAGGUGUUUCACAUUGGUGAAGGUACAGUGGUGGACGUAGCGUCUGUGGAAUUCAGUGACAGUGUUUCACAUUGGUGAAGGUACAGUGGUGGGUAUGGUGUCUAUGGAAUUCAGUGAAGGUGUUUCAUAUUGGUGUAGGUAGACUGGUGGAUGUGGUGUCUUGAAUUCAGUGAAGGUGUUUCAUAUUGGUGAAGGUGGAGUGGUGGAUAUGGUGUCUAUGGAUUUCAGAGAAGAUGUUUCAUAUUGAUGAAGGGUGCGUGGUGGAUGUGCUAUUGAUGGAAUUCAGUGAAGGUGAAUCACUUUGAUGAAGGUACAGUGGUGGACGUGGUGUGUAUGGAAUUCAGUGAAGGAGUUUCGCAUUGGUGAAGGUAGAGUGGUGGAUGUGGUGUCAAUGGAAUUCAGUGAAGGUGUUUCACAUUGCUGAAGGCAGAGUAGUGGAAGUGGUGUCUUUGGAUUACAGUGAAGGUGUUUCAUAUUGGUGAAGGUAGAGUGGUGGAUGCGGUGACUAUGGAAUUCAGUGAAGGUGUUUCAUAUUGGUGAAGGUAGAGUGGUGGACGUGGUGUCAAUGGAAUUCAAUGAAGGUGUUUCAUUAAUGUGAAGGUAGAGUGGUGGACGUGGUGUCAAUGGAAUUCAGUGAAUGUGUUUCAUUAUGGUGAAGGUAGAGUGGCGGAAAUGGUGUCUAUGGAAUUAAGUGAAGGAUUUUCACAUUGGUGAAGAUAGAGUGCUGGACGUGGUGUCUGUGGAAUUCAGUGAAGGUUUUUCAUAUUGGUGAAGGUAGAGUGGUGGAUGUGGUGUCUUUGGUGUUCAUUGAAGGUGUUUUACAUUGAUGAAGGUACAGUGGUGGACGUGGUGUGUACGGAAUUCAGUGAAAGUGUUUCAAUUGAUGAAUGUAGUGUCGUGGAUUUGGUGUGUAUGGAAUUCAGUGAAGGUGUUUCAUAUUGGUGAAGGGAAAGUGGUGGAUGUGGUGUCAAUGGAAUUCAGUGAAGGUGUUUCACAUUGCUGAAGGCAGAGUAGUGGAUGUGGUGUCUGUGGAAUUCAGUGAAGGUGUUUCAUAUUGGUGAAGUUAGAGUGGUGGAAGUGGUGUCUUUGGAUUACAGUGAAGGUGUUUCAUAUUGGUGAAGGUAGAGUGGUGGAUGCGGUGACUAUGGAAUUCAGUGAAGGUGUUUCUUAUUGGUGAAGGUAGAGUGGUGGACGUGGUGUCAAUGGAAUUCAAUGAAGGUGUUUCAUUAUGGUGAAGGUAGAGUGGUGGACGUGGUGUCAAUGGAAUUCAGUGAAUGUGUUUCAUUAUGGUGAAGGUAGAGUGGCGGAAGUGGUGUCUAUGGAAUUAAGUGAAGGAUUUUCACAUUGGUGAAGAUAGAGUGGUGGACGUGGUGUCUGUGGAAUUCAGUGAAGGUGUUUCAUAUUGGUGAAGGUAGAGUGGUGGAUGUGGUGUCUUUGGUGUUCAUUGAAGGUGUUUUACAUUGAUGAAGGUACAGUGGUGGACGUGGUGUGUAUGGAAUUCAGUGAAAGUGUUUCAAUUGAUGAAUGUUGUGUCGUGGAUUUGGUGUGUAUGGAAUUCAGUGAAGGUGUUUCAUAUUGGUGAAGGGAGAGUGGUGGAUGUGGUGUCUAUGGAAUUCAGUGAAGGUGUUUCACUUUGAAGGUAGAGUGGUGGAUGUGGUGUCUAUGGAAUUCAGUAAAGGUGUUUCACAUUGGUGAAGGUACAGUGGUGGACGUAGCGUCUGUGGAAUUCAGUGACGGUGUUUCACAUUGGUGAAGGUACAGUGGUGGGUAUGGUGUCUAUGGAAUUCAGUGAAGGUGUUUCAUAUUGGUGUAGGUAGACUAGUGGAUGUGGUGUCUAUGGAAUUCAGUGAAGGUGUUUCAUAUUGGUGAAGGUAGAGUGGUGGAUUUGGUGUCUGGAAUUCAGAGAAGAUGUUUCAUAUUGAUGAAGGGUGCGUGGUGGAUGUGGUAUUGAUGGAAUUCAGUGAAGGUGUUUCAUAUUGAUGAAUGUAGAGCGGGUGACGUGGUGUCUAUGGAAUUCAGUGAAGGUGUUUCAUAUUGGUGAAGGUAGACUGUUGGAUGUGGUGUCUAUGAAAUUCAGUGAAUGUGCUUCAUAUUGGGGAAGGUAGAGUAGUGGUUGUCGUGUCUGGAAUUCAGAGAAGAUGAUUCAUAUUGAGGAAGGUAGCGUGGUGGAUGUAGUAUUGAUGGAAUUCAGUGAAGCUGUUUCAAAUUGAUGAAGGUAGCGUGGUGGAUGUGUUAUUGAUGGAAUUCAGUGAAGGUGUUUCAUAUUGGUGAAGGUAGAGUGGUGGAUUUGGUGUCUGGAAUUCAGAGAAGAUGUUUCAUAUUGAUGAAGGGUGCGUGGUGGAUGUGGUAUUGAUGGAAUUCAGUGAAGGUGUUUCACUUUGGUGAAGGUAGAGAGGGGGAUGUGGUAUUGAUGGAAUUCAGUGAAGGUGUUUCAUAUUGAUGAAGGUAGAGCGGGGGACGUGGUGUCUAUGGAAUUCAGUCAAGGUGUUUCAUAUUGGUGAAGGUAGACUGUUGGAUGUGGUGUCAAUGGCAUUCAGUGAAUGUGUUUCAUAUUGGGGAAGGUAGAGUAGUGGUUGUCGUGUCUAUGGAAUUCAGAGAAGGUGAUUCAUAUUGAGGAAGGUAGCGUGGUGGAUGUGGUAUUGAUGGAAUUCAGUGAAGGUGUUUCAUAUUGUUGAAGGUUGAGUGGUGGACCUGGUUUGUAUGGAAUUCAAUGAAUUUGUUUCAUAUUGGUGAAGGUAGAGUGGUGGAUGUGGUGUCUGUGGAAUUCAGUGAAGGUGUUUCAUUUUGGUGAAGGUAGAGUGGUGGACGUGGUUUCUAUGGAAUUCCGUAAAGGUGUUUCACAUUGGUGAAGCUAGAGUGGUGGACGUGGUCUCAAUGGAAUUAAGUGAAGGAGAUUCACAUUGGUGAAGGUAGAGUGGUGGACGUGGUGUCUGUGGAAUUCAGUGAAGGUAUUUCACAUUGGUGAAGGUAGAGUGGUUGAUGUGGUGUCAAGGGAAUUCAGUGAAUGUGUUUCACAUUGGUGAAGGUAGAGUGGUGGAUGUGGUGUCAAUGGAAUUCAGGGAAAAUGUUUCAUAUUGAUGAAGGGUGCGUGGUGGAUGUGGUAUUGAUGGAAUUCAGUGAAGGUGUUUCAUAUUGGUGAAGGUACAGUGGUUGAUGUGGUGUCUAUGGAAUUCAGUGAAGGUGUUUCAUAUUGGUGAAGGGAGAGUGGUGGAUGUGGUGUCUAUGGAAUUCAGUGAAGGUGUUUCACUUUGAAGGUAGAGUGGUGGAUGUGGUUUCUAUGGAAUACAGUGAAGGUGUUUCAUAUUGGUGAAGGUAGAGUGGUGGAUGUGGUGUCUAUGGAAUUCAGUAAAGGUGUUUCACAUUGGUGAAGGUACAGUGGUGGACGUAGCGUCUGUGGAAUUCAGUGACGGUGUUUCACAUUGGUGAAGGUACAGUGGUGGGUAUGGUGUCUAUGGAAUUCAGUGAAGGUGUUUCAUAUUGGUGUAGGUAGACUGGUGGAUGUGGUGUCUAUGGAAUUCAGUGAAGGUGUUUCAUAUUGGUGAAGGUAGAGUAGUGGUUGUCGUGUCUAUGGAAUUCAGAGAAGGUGAUUCAUAUUGAGGAAGGUAGCGUGGUGGAUGUGGUAUUGAUGGAAUUCAGUGAAGGUGUUUCAUAUUGUUGAAGGUUGAGUGGUGGACCUGGUUUGUAUGGAAUUCAAUGAAUUUGUUUCAUAUUGGUGAAGGUAGAGUGGUGGAUGUGGUGUCUGUGGAAUUCAGUGAAGGUGUUUCAUUUUGGUGAAGGUAGAGUGGUGGACGUGGUUUCUAUGGAAUUCCGUAAAGGUGUUUCACAUUGGUGAAGCUAGAGUGGUGGACGUGGUCUCAAUGGAAUUAAGUGAAGGAGAUACACAUUGGUGAAGGUAGAGUGGUGGACGUGGUGUCUGUGGAAUUCAGUGAAGGUAUUUCACAUUGGUGAAGGUAGAGUGGUUGAUGUGGUGUCAAGGGAAUUCAGUGAAUGUGUUUCACAUUGGUGAAGGUAGCGUGGUGGAUGUGGUGUCAAUGGAAUUCAGGGAAGAUGUUUCAUAUUGAUGAAGGGUGCGUGGUGGAUGUGGUAUUGAUGGAAUUCAGUGAAGGUGUUUCAUAUUGGUGAAGGUACAGUGGUGGAUGUGGUGUCUAUGGAAUUCAAUAAAGGAGUUUCACAUUCAUGAAUGUAGAGUGGUGGAUGUGGUGUCUAUGGAAUUCAGUGAAGUUGUUUCACAUUGGUGAAGGUAGAGUGGUGGACGUGGUGUCAAUGGAAUUCAGUGAAGGUGUUUCACAUUGGUGAAGGUACAGUGGUGGGUAAUGUGUCGAUGGAAUUCAGUGAAGGUUUUUCAUAUUGGUGUAGGUAGACUGGUGGAUGUGGUGUCUUGAAUUCAGUGAAGGUGUUUCAUUUUGGUGAAGGUAGAGUGGUGGAUGUGCUAUUGAUGGAAUUCAGUGAAGGUGAAUCACAUUGAUGAAGGUACAGUGGUGGAUGUGGUGUGUAUGGAAUUCAGUGAAGGAGUUUCGCAUUGGUGAAGGUAGAGUGGUGGAUGUGGUGAAAAUGGAAUGCAGUGAAGGUGUUUCACAUUGCUGAAGGCAGAGUAGUGGAUGUGGUGUCUGUGGAAUUCAGUGAAGGUGUUUCACAUUGGUGAAGGUACAGUGGUGGGUAUGGUGUCGAUGGAAUUCAGUGAAGGUUUUUCAUAUUGGUGUAGGUAGACUGGUGGAUGUGCUGUCUUGAAUUCAGUGAAGGUGUUUCAUAUUGGUGAAGGUGGAGUGGUCGACGUGGUGUCUAUGGAAUUCAGUGAAGUUGUUUCACAUUGGUGAAUGUAGAGUGGUGGAUGUGGUGUCUAUGGAAUUCACUAAAAGCGUUUCACAUUGAUGAAUGUAGAGUGGUGGAUGUGGUGUCCAUGGAAUUCAGUGAAGGUGUUUCACAUUGGUGAAGGUACAGUGGUGGACGUAGCGUCUGUGGAAUUCAGUGACGGUGUUUCACAUUGGUGAAGGUACAGUGGUGGGUAUGGUGUCUAUGGAAUUCAGUGAAGGUGUUUCAUAUUGGUGUAGGUAGACUGGUGGAUGUGGUGUCUUGAAUUCAGUGAAGGUGUUUCAUAUUGGUGAAGGUGGAGUGGUGGAUAUGGUGUCUAUGGAUUUCAGAGAAGAUGUUUCAUAUUGAUGAAGGGUGCGUGGUGGAUGUGGUAUUGAUGGAAUUCAGUGAAGGUGUUUCAUUUUGGUGAAGGUAGAGUGGUGGAUGUGCUAUUGAUGGAAUUCAGUGAAGGUGAAUCACAUUGAUGAAGGUACAGUGGUGGACGUGGUGUGUAUGGAAUUCAGUGAAGGAGUUUCGCAUUGGUGAAGGUAGAGUGGUGGAUGUGGUGUCAAUGGAAUUCAGUGAAGGUGUUUCACAUUGCUGAAGGCAGAGUAGUGGAUGUGGUGUCUGUGGAAUUCAGUGUAGGUGUUUCAUAUUGGUGAAGUUAGAGUGGUGGAAGUGGUGUCUUUGGAUUACAGUGAAGGUGUUUCAUAUUGGUGAAGGUAGAGUGGUGGAUGCGGUGACUAUGGAAUUCAGUGAAGGUGUUUCAUAUUGGUGAAGGUAGAGUGGUGGACGUGGUGUCAAUGGAAUUCAAUGAAGGUGUUUCAUUAAUGUGAAGGUAGAGUGGUGGACGUGGUGUCAAUGGAAUUCAGUGAAUGUGUUUCAUUAUGGUGAAGGUAGAGUGGCGGAAGUGGUGUCUAUGGAAUUAAGUGAAGGAUUUUCACAUUGGUGAAGAUAGAGUGGUGGACGUGGUGUCUGUGGAAUUCAGUGAAGGUGUUUCAUAUUGGUGAAGGUAGAGUGGUGGAUGUGGUGUCUUUGGUGUUCAUUGAAGGUGUUUUACAUUGAUGAAGGUACAGUGGUGGACGUGGUGUGUAUGGAAUUCAGUGAAAGUGUUUCAAUUGAUGAAUGCAGUGUCGUGGAUUUGGUGUGUAUGGAAUUCAGUGAAGGUGUUUCAUAUUGGUGAAGGGAGAGUGGUGGAUGUGGUGUCUAUGGAAUUCAGUGAAGGUGUUUCACUUUGAAGGUAGAGUGGUGGAUGUGGUUUCUAUGGAAUACAGUGAAGGUGUUUCAUAUUGGUGAAGGUAGAGUGGUGGAUGUGGUGUCUAUGGAAUUCAGUAAAGGUGUUUCACAUUGGUGAAGGUACAGUGGUGGACGUAGCGUCUGUGGAAUUCAGUGACGGUGUUUCACAUUGGUGAAGGUACAGUGGUGGGUAUGGUGUCUAUGGAAUUCAGUGAAGGUGUUUCAUAUUGGUGUAGGUAGACUGGUGGAUGUGGUGUCUAUGGAAUUCA